GGGGAAUUUUGGACAAUGGGGGCAACCCUGAUCCAGCCAUCCCGCGUGUGCGAUGAAGGACUUCGGGUUGUAAAGCACUUUUGGCAGGGAAGAAACAGCCUGGGCUAAUAUCCCGGGCGACUGACGGUACCUGCAGAAUAAGCACCGGCUAACUCCGUGCCAGCAGCCGCGGUAAUACGGAGGGUGCAAGCGUUAUCCGGAUUCACUGGGUUUAAAGGGUGCGUAGGCGGAUAUGUAAGUCAGUGGUGAAAUCAACGGGCUCAACCUGUUAACUGCCAUUGAUACUGUGUAUCUUGAAUAUGAGAGAGGUAGGCGGAAUGUUGCAUGUAGCGGUGAAAUGCUUAGAUAUGCUACGGAACACCGAUUGCGAAGGCAGCUUACUAUUUCGUAAUUGACGCUGAGGCACGAAAGCGUGGGUAGCGAAC
This 425-nucleotide ribosomal RNA is filed under the name uncultured bacterium. RNAcentral describes it as "bacterial SSU rRNA". It matches the Rfam family "Bacterial small subunit ribosomal RNA", at positions 356 to 773 of the family's 1533-position model. The record is from RNAcentral.